UGGAGAGUAGAAGACAGCGUCAUUUCCCCCAAGAGCAUCCCUUUCCUCAAAGAAUUGUGCCUGGAUCGUUGCUUUUGCAAUUGGCCUCCAAAUCUUGGGACUCUUCAUUUUGGGGUGCUUUUAUUUCAUCAGGAAGCAGUGCAAGGCAAGAGAAAAUCAAUCUCAAAAUGAAGAAGAGAAAGUGGCUCUUCAAAAGGAAAUUGGUAAGUUUUCUACACUGACCAAACUGUUUUUUCG
RNAcentral lists this long non-coding RNA (237 nucleotides) under Vombatus ursinus (common wombat). Its description in RNAcentral is "lncRNA (ENSVURG00010016069.1)". Lineage: Eukaryota; Metazoa; Chordata; Mammalia; Diprotodontia; Vombatidae. The record is from RNAcentral.